AACAUGUUUGCGUUUCUU
Molecule: transfer RNA, 18 nt
Filed under: Cautires communis
Lineage: Eukaryota; Metazoa; Arthropoda; Insecta; Coleoptera; Lycidae
Description: partial tRNA-Ser
Source: RNAcentral